This 468-nucleotide ribosomal RNA is filed under the name uncultured bacterium. Its description in RNAcentral is "partial 16S ribosomal RNA". It matches the Rfam family "Bacterial small subunit ribosomal RNA", at positions 28 to 507 of the family's 1533-position model. The record is from RNAcentral.
GACGAACGCUGGCGGCGUGCUUAACACAUGCAAGUCGAACGGAAAGUCUCUGCUUUUGUGGGCUGCUCGAGUGGUGAACGGGUGAGUAAUACGUGAUUAACCUGCCUUUGACUUUGGGAUUACUUCUGGUACCUGGUGCUAAUACCUGAUAGGAGCUCCUGCUGCAUGGUGGGGGUUGGAAAGUUUCGGCGGUUGGGGAUGGACUCGCGGCUUAUCAGCUUGUUGUUGGGGUAUUGGCUUACCAAGUCUUUGACGGGUAGCCGGCCUGAGAGGGUGACCGGACACAUUAGGACUGAGAUACGGCCCAGACUCGUACGGGAGGCAGGAGUGGAGAAGAGUGCACAAUGGGCGGAAGCCUGAUGCAGCAACGCCGCGUGCGGGAUGACGGCCUUCGGGUUGUAAACCGAUUUCGCCUGUGACGAAACGUGAGUGACGGUAAUGGGGAAAGAAGCACCGGCUAACUACGUG